GACGAACGCUGGCGGCGUGCCUAAUACAUGCAAGUUGAGCGCUGAAGGUUGGUACUUGUACCAACUGGAUGAGCAGCGAACGGGUGAGUAACGCGUGGGGAAUCUGCCUUUGAGCGGGGGACAACAUUUGGAAACGAAUGCUAAUACCGCAUAAAAACUUUAAACACAAGUUUUAAGUUUGAAAGAUGCAAUUGCAUCACUCAAAGAUGGUCCCGCGUUGUAUUAGCUAGUUGGUGAGGUAAAGGCUCACCAAGGCGAUGAUGCAUAGCCGACCUGAGAGGGUGACAGGACACACGGGGAGUGAGACAGGGCCCAGACUCGUAAGGGAGGAAGAAGUGGGGAAUAUUGCACAAUGGGAGCAAGCCUGAUGGAGCGACGCCGCGUGAGGGAGGACGGGCUACGGGUGGUAACCCGCGUGCAGUAGGGAAGAAGCGAAAGUGACGGGACCUGAAGAAGAAGCAACGGCUAACCACGUG
Molecule: ribosomal RNA, 476 nt
Filed under: uncultured bacterium
Lineage: Bacteria
Description: partial 16S ribosomal RNA
Rfam family: Bacterial small subunit ribosomal RNA
Source: RNAcentral